Molecule: ribosomal RNA, 387 nt
Filed under: uncultured bacterium
Lineage: Bacteria
Description: bacterial SSU rRNA
Rfam family: Bacterial small subunit ribosomal RNA
Source: RNAcentral
AUUAAACGCUGGCGGCAUGCCUUACACAUGCAAGUCGAACGGUAGCGCGGGGCAACCUGGCGACGAGUGGCGAACGGGUGAGUAAAGCAUCGGAACGUGCCCUGGAAUGGGGGAUAACGUAGCGAAAGUUACGCUAAUACCGCAUAUUCUGUGAGCAGGAAAGCAGGGGAUCGCAAGACCUUGCGUUCUGGGAGCGGCCGAUGUCGGAUUAGCUAGUUGGUGGGGUAAAAGCCUACCAAGGCGACGAUCCGUAGCGGGUCUGAGAGGAUGAUCCGCCACACUGGGACUGAGACACGGCCCAGACUCCUACGGGAGGCAGCAGUGGGGGAAUUUUGGACAAUGGGCGGAAGCCUGAUCCAGCCAUGCCGCGUGAGUGAAGAAGGCCUU